CCAAGCUCUCCUGGCUGCCCAAUGUCCCCUUCGCUUGCAUAUCACUGACAUUCUGACAUCACACUGACAUCACACCAUGGCAACCAUUGGAUGAAGACCUCGUCUCCAGAGGACUCCUGUUAACACCAGACGUAUAAUGGGAGUGACACAGUGAUCUGCUGGCACUCUUGAAGACAUCAGCUUGGUCAAGAAUGUUGGCAGAGGCGCCUCAAGAAACAACUGCCUUCCACUCAUGAGCUGAAAUGUCAUUGCUGAAAGCGAGGCAGAUGAGUGGAAGUGGAAAGACCUGGGGCUGUGGGCGUCCUUGUGACCAGCCUGGCAAGGCCCACGCCUGCCCCAUGGAGACUCUGGGGCAGCCUUUGCAGAAGCAAACACUAUCAUCAGACUUGAGUUACAAACGCCACCACAGCGGUCUUAACAUCUGGCUUCCAAGGGGUCAAACUCUGAACAGUGCAGGGAGAGUAGGAGACCCAGAGCCCCUGAAGCCUCCUCCAUCCCAAGCAGAAAACCAGAUGCUGCCAUGGAACCAACACCCAAGCACCAGGCCCAGAACAAGAAGCAGCAUGACCCAAGGGCUGGGCAGGGGCCAAGGCCAAGUGAGGGGACAAUAGGAAGCGGACCAGCAUCCAGCAUCCCUCGAGCUCCUUGAAGACUGAAGAUUCAGCUGUUUCCUGUAAAAUGUCACUCUUUUGUUCAUUUCCUCCUUGGAGACACGGCAAUCAAUUCUGCUUUACUUGACUUAAGGAUGAUAAUGAUCACUCGUGAAAUGAUCCUGGAGUACAAAAAGUUGUUAAAAAAGAGAUAACAGGCCCACAAUGGAGUCACUUGUGCUGAGCCCACAUCACCAAACUGAGACGUAAUACCUAACCUCAUGGCAGUUUCACCCUCUCCCAGGAAUGUGACCUUAACUAGCCAUUCUGGAAUUAACCUGCCAUCUUCCAGGUGAGGACCACAGCUCUCAUCUCAACACCUUCAGUUUACAAGUGAGAAAACUGAGACCCAAAAAGACAAAGUGACUUCCCAAAGUCAUAAGACCAGCCAAUAACAGAGAAGCAAUAGAAUUUGGGCCUCCUAUUCCCUUCCAGCCUCUGGUCAUCUCUACAACUACAUCAAUUCAACCAACAGUGAAAGUCCUCUCUUACUUCUUCUCAGUAGUACAUGUGGGGAUGAAGAGAUAAUAACGACUUGGGUUGUCCCCAUCUUUUUUCCAGCCUAAGAGCACACUGGAAGUGAGCAUGCUGAAGCCUCUCUGCCCACUCCCUGGCUGUAGGUGCCCCUCACUAGCCAACCCCAGCUGAGAGGGCUGUCUGUCCAUCA
Molecule: long non-coding RNA, 1317 nt
Filed under: Equus asinus (donkey)
Lineage: Eukaryota; Metazoa; Chordata; Mammalia; Perissodactyla; Equidae
Description: lncRNA (ENSEASG00005037104.1)
Source: RNAcentral